RNAcentral lists this ribosomal RNA (414 nucleotides) under uncultured bacterium. RNAcentral's name for it is "bacterial SSU rRNA". It matches the Rfam family "Bacterial small subunit ribosomal RNA", at positions 1090 to 1503 of the family's 1533-position model. The record is from RNAcentral.
CAACGAGCGCAACCCCUGUCCUUUGUUGCCAGCACGUAAUGGUGGGAACUCAAGGGAGACUGCCGGUGAUAAACCGGAGGAAGGUGGGGAUGACGUCGAGUCAUCAUGGCCCUUACGGCCAGGGCUACACACGUGCUACAAUGGCGCGUACAGAGGGCUGCAAGCUAGCGAUAGUGAGCGAAUCCCAAAAAGCGCGUCGUAGUCCGGAUCGGAGUCUGCAACUCGACUCCGUGAAGUCGGAAUCGCUAGUAAUCGCAAAUCAGAAUGUUGCGGUGAAUACGUUCCCGGGCCUUGUACACACCGCCCGUCACACCAUGGGAGUGGGUUGCACCAGAAGUAGAUAGCUUAACCUUCGGGAGGGCGUUUACCACGGUGUGAUUCAUGACUGGGGUGAAGUCGUAACAAGGUAGCCGU